RNAcentral lists this ribosomal RNA (252 nucleotides) under uncultured prokaryote. Its description in RNAcentral is "partial 16S rRNA". It matches the Rfam family "Archaeal small subunit ribosomal RNA", at positions 475 to 726 of the family's 1478-position model. The record is from RNAcentral.
ACCGGCAGCUCAAGUGGUGGCCAUUUUUAUUGGGCCUAAAGCGUUCGUAGCCGGUUUGAUAAGUCUCUGGUGAAAUCCCGCAGCUUAACUGUGGGACUUGCUGGAGAUACUAUUAGACUUGAGGUCGGGAGAGGUUAGGGGUACUCCCAGGGUAGGGGUGAAAGCGUAAAAUCCUGGGAGGUCAACCAGUGGAGACGGCGCCUAACUGGAACGAACCUGACUUUGAGUAGUGAUAGCCAGUGGCGCAAACAG